RNAcentral lists this ribosomal RNA (431 nucleotides) under uncultured eukaryote. RNAcentral's name for it is "SSU rRNA". It matches the Rfam family "Eukaryotic small subunit ribosomal RNA", at positions 587 to 972 of the family's 1831-position model. The record is from RNAcentral.
AGCUCCAAUAGCGUAUAUUAAUAUUGUUGCGGUUAAAAAGCUCAUAGUUUAAACUUGAACAGCAGUUGCUUCGGUCUCCCGGCUAGUGCUUCGUGCGCUUCCGGGCUUGUAUGGUCGAACAGCAGUGUGGUUCGUCAUUGAUGUUUGCCGGUCGUCUCUUCGGAAGCGUGCCGUUUGCAGCAUCAGCGAUUACUUUGACUAAAUCAGAGUGAUCAAAACAGGCUCGUUUUGCACGGCCUUGAGUGCUCUAGCAUGGAAUAAUAGAAAAGGACUCGUUUGGUCCGAUGGUGUAAAGCCAACUAUGGUCUUCGGUACCUCGAGUAAUGAUUAAAAGGGAUUGACGGGGGCAGUCGUAUUGCUGGGCUAGCGGUGAAAUGCAAUGACCCUGGUAAGACGUCCGAAAGCGAAAGCAUCUGCCUAGGAUGUUUUCA